This 492-nucleotide ribosomal RNA is filed under the name uncultured bacterium. RNAcentral's name for it is "partial 16S ribosomal RNA". It matches the Rfam family "Bacterial small subunit ribosomal RNA", at positions 29 to 507 of the family's 1533-position model. The record is from RNAcentral.
AGUGAACGCUGGCGGUAUGCCUAACACAUGCAAGUCGAACGGCAGCACAGUAAGAUCUUUCUUUUACUGUUGGCGACUGGCGGACGGGUGAGGCAUAGAUCGGAUUCUUCUUUGUCUUGGGUGAUAACGUAGAGCAACUUACGCUAAUACCUCAUACUUUCUACGGCUUAAAUCAGGGGUUCUUCAGACCUUGCCCGACUCUUAUAGCCGGUGUCGGAUUAGCUAGUUGGCUUGGUAAAGGCACACCAAGGCGACGAUCCGUAGCUGGUCUGAGAGGAUGAUCAGCCACACUGGAACUGAGACACGGUCCAGACUCCUACGGGAGGCAGCAGUGGGGAAUAUUGGACAAUGGGCGCAAGCCUGAUGCAGCAAUACCGCGUGGGUGAAGAAGGCCUUCGGGUUGUAAAGCCCUUUUAUUGGGAAAGAAAAGCAGCAGGUUAAUACGCCGACGUUCUGACGGUACCCAAAGAAUAAGCACCGGCUAACUUCGUG